Non-coding RNA from Xylariaceae sp. FL0255, 72 nucleotides. Lineage: Eukaryota; Fungi; Ascomycota; Sordariomycetes; Xylariales; Xylariaceae. The record is from the annotation of a GenBank genome assembly.
GGUUGCUUAGCUCAGCGGUAGAGCGUUCGAUUCCAGUCCCAAACGUCGUCCGUUCAACCCGGGCAGCGAUCA